UACGUAGGUGGCAAGCGUUGUCCGGAAUUAUUGGGCGUAAAGCGCGCGCAGGCGGUCCUUUAAGUCUGAUGUGAAAGCCCACGGCUCAACCGUGGAGGGUCAUUGGAGACUGGGGGACUUGAGUACAGAAGAGGAAAGCGGAAUUCCACGUGUAGCGGUGAAAUGCGUAGAGAUGUGGAGGAACACCAGUGGCGAAGGCGGCUUUCUGGUCUGUAACUGACGCUGAGGCGCGAAAGCGUGGGGAGCAAACAGG
This 253-nucleotide ribosomal RNA is filed under the name uncultured bacterium. Its description in RNAcentral is "partial 16S ribosomal RNA". It matches the Rfam family "Bacterial small subunit ribosomal RNA", at positions 524 to 776 of the family's 1533-position model. The record is from RNAcentral.